Dermacentor albipictus is the source of this 5037-nucleotide long non-coding RNA. RefSeq lists it as uncharacterized. The record is from RefSeq and is a predicted model, not a curated record. NCBI's taxonomy places the organism in Eukaryota, Metazoa, Arthropoda, Arachnida, Ixodida, Ixodidae.
CGCGCGGAGGAACACUAGCCUUCGGAGCGCUCGCGCGCGCGCGUUGAAAGCUCAGCCAUUUGUCAGCGACUGCACAUUGUUCUACCGUGGUUGAUGUUUCACACUGCUUUGAACCCUCAAGACUCCACGAUUACUGGAUACGCCGUCACUUGAACCUCGGCGGCCGGAGCAGGACUGUGGUUGCGGCCGUUUCGUUGCCAGCUGUGAGGAUGAAGCAGCUUCAUAACCGGAGAUCAGUCGCCUCCCAUCAGUUUCCCUUUUCAGCAAUAGAGGUCUUGGGUGCCUUUCUACCCGUGUUGCAUCCUGUGACUGACCACUCCAACGAUCUCGGCAGAAUCGUUACGCAGGAAGAAGUCCGGCUGGCCCCAAGCCUGGUGUGAAAUGAAGAAAUGGCACUCCACAUCAGUUCAUGUUUACUUGUCAUCACAGCCAGUCUGCUAGCUUAAUUUUUGGUUCUUCCUAUUGAAUUCUCAAAAAAGCCCAGGCUUGUUGCAGCCCAAGUAACAGUGGAGGUUGCUCUCGCUGUCUGGCUCGGCCCGCUUGGAAUGCUCGUCAAAGGUGCUCCGGAAACAAGCGUAUCGGAUGAAAUGGCAUCGACACGCAGGCCUUCCAUCCAGCCGGGUGUUCUUCAAGCCGAAAUCGUCUCUCCGCCAAAACUGGGUCGCCUCGGAUUCCUCGUCUGGCAACCUGGAACCAUAGCAACAGUAUUUAACCGCCCACCUACGUCGCAUUCACCGGGGCGCGACACCGCCGGACGCACUAUGUGCUCACCCCUUCUUGUAACACAGGUUGGUUACAUGAGCCAUUGCGUAUGCAUGCGAACUUCAAACCCUUUUUUAUUUGAGGUGUCGUGCCCCAGUGACACCAAGGACUAGCUAUUUUGGUUUGUUAACCGUUGUAUGUCCGCGGUGUGUCAUGUUGCGUUGUCACAAUUGCUGUUAGCUUUGUCAGGCGAUGUGGAGUCGAACCCAGGCCCUGAUAGCGUUCAGGAAUCUAGUACGCAGACCGACGCAGGGGAAAUCUCUGCUGUCUUGCAGAUGCUUACCAAGCUUCAGUCGGGUCAAGAAAAAAUUUUGUCGAAUUUAGCGGACGUACGGACUAAACAAUACGCCACUGACGAAAAAGUAAACUUGACUGAACGUGUUGACCUUCUAGGGCAAGGUCGCUCACAGUCCAGUAACUCUUCGGCCGCUUCGAAAGCCCCGUCUGCAGAAAUAGCCGCUUUGAAAGCUUCCACGGAUGAUUCCAAAAAUAGGCUACGAAGGAACAACCUUCUCUUUUUUGGUUGAGGAUAACCCGUUGGAAACCUGGAAGCAAGCCGAAGAAACUGUUGCAUUCUGCUCUACUAAGCUAGGUGUAUCGCUUGACCCACUAAAUAUUGAUCGAGCGCACAGACUGGGCACUUACAGUGAAGAUGAAAACUGCCCCAUAAUUGUUCGCUUUGUUAGAUUCAAAGAUAAAGAUGCGGUAUUGGGAGCGGGUCCGAAGUUGAAGAUGAGUAAAACAUUUCCAUCAGGGAAGACUUCUCUCGUUCAGUACGCUUAGCCCGCAGGAAACUUUCCGAAUUCGCAAAGGCUCGGUCCUCCUCUUACAAACUCAGGCACGAUAAGCUUCGUAUGUGCGGAUGAAACUUCAUUUACGACGCUGAUAGUGAUAAUAUCGUGCUGCAAAAAAAGUUAACUUGAAACGGUGUCGAGCAAUCCCUGUUACUGAAGUUAACAGUUCCAUCAGCGUUCCCCGAUGCCGCCCCGUUGAGCAUGUGCCGUGCCGUCCUUCAUUGGUAAAUGUUAUGCUUAUCAAUUGCCGAAGCGUCAAGAACAAAACAGACGACUUAACAGGGCUCGUAUCAUCUUUUGGCCCUGAAAUUGUUAUUGAGUCUGAAUCUUGGUUAUACGAAUCAAUUUCCAGCUCUGAAAUAUUUCCUGCGGAAUACGUGGCCUAUCGCAAGGACUGCAAUAGCCAGGGUGGGGGCGUUUCUGUUCUGCUCAAGCACAGCUUGCCAAGUUUCGUAGUUGACUUGGAGGAUAACAGCUGUGAAUCUGUUUGGUGCAAAGUUGUUCUAGAACAUAGCAAACAGCUUACAAUUGGAGAAUUUUAUCAUCCGCCUAAUGACAACAGCAGUCAUACCUUUAAUACCCUUUCUCAUUUAUUACUUACGGUCUCAACUGAUUAUUUUCUCGUCGGUGGUGACUUUAAUAUGCCAGAUGCGCAGUGGAUUAAUAAGCUGCCAGUACUUCCUUCGUGCUCAUCCCUGUCGUCGGCUUUUUACGAUCUUUUCGCAACGCAUGGUCUUUAUCAAUUCGUGGAGGGACCAACACGGCGCCAUGGCAAUGCCGCUUCCAUCUUAGAUCUGAUUGCAAACUCUCCUUUGUUGCUGCACUCUGUUUCCAUAGUUCCCGGACUAAGCGACCAUGAUGCAGUGGUUGCCCGUCUCGUUGCUCCCAAGCCGUACAUACCGUCACCGAAACCCAGAAAAGUUUAUUUCUUUGAUAGCGGAAAUUACUCUCAUAUUUCUGAAACGCUUGAGUCAAACUUCGAUACUUUCUCAGAACAAAGCAGCACUGUAUCUGUCUCCAAGUUAUGGCUGCUGUUCAAGAAACAACUUUUACAGCUCAUUGACUUGCACAUUCCAUCUAAACUUCUUUCUGUGAAACAACGAAAAAAUAAACCUUGGUUUGAUAAACCCAUAAAGGUUCUACUUAAUAAGAGGAAUCGUACGUUCAAACGGUAUAGAGACAAGCCCGAUCUACUGCAAUUUUCUAAGCUUCUACAACUUGGUUCUGAAAUCCAGAUGAAAAUCACAGAAGGAAAAAAAGCGGUAUUUUGGCUCUCUUGGUUCUAGAAUUAAAGAAAAUCUAAAGGAACUUUGGAAACUAGUGAAAUCAAGCAGUAAAGACGAUGUUGGUAUCCCUCCGUUAAUCCACAAUAGUGCAGCUGUUACUAAUGAUAGAGAUAAAUCAUGCUGUUUUAGUGAUUACUUUGUUUCUGUGUAUUCCACGCUAGUACCUCAACAUCUUCCAGUCUUCUUGAGCAACGCGCUUGAUGAUAUGCGGAAUAUUACUGUUCAUUACUUCAGAAUAGUCGGCCUUCUCCAAAAAUUAAAACGACACUCGGCACCAGGUCCAGAUUGGAUACCCAAUUUUGUUUUGAAAUCAUGCGCACGUAUAUCAAGGUAUCUAGAAGUACUGUAUCACAAAUCUCUUGAAACCUCAGAAUAACCUGAAGGCUGGAAGAUGGGCGACAUUGUUCCGAUUCAUAAAAGCGGGCCUCGUGACAGUGUCACGAAUUAUAGACCUAUUUCUUUAACAUCUGUGUGUUGCAAAACCCUGGAGCACAUAAUUUACACUAACAUCUUUACCCACCUUCAAAACAAGUUUCUUUGUUCCUUACCAACAUGGGUUUAGAGCUGGUCACUCAUGCGUAACUCAGUUUGUGGAAUUUACCCAUGACAUAUUCACAUCAUUUGACAAAGGUUUACAAACAAACUGCAUACUAUUAGAUUUCCAGAAAGCGUUUGACGAAGUGUCCCAUGUUCUCUUACUUUAUAAGCUUUCACUUCUUGGUUUACCAGAAAAAAUCCUUUAUUGGCUGAAAAACUACUUGACAGGUCGUUUACAAAGAGUGGUAAUUAAUGGCACAGAAUCAGAAUACGCAUGUGUAUCUUCUGGCAUUCCGCAGGGUUCCGUCUUAGGUCCUCUUUUAUUUCUUAUAUAUAUGAAUGACAUUGGCACAGAAAUCACCUCGAAAAUCUGGCUGUACGCAGACGAUUGCGUCCUUUACAGAGAAAUUAAUAAUUAUUCCGACCGAGUAGUAUUAUAGACAGACCUAAAUAAGAUUUCUUCAUGGUGUGACAGGUGGCUUAUGUCCCUCAACAUCUCAAAAUGUAAGCAUAUUUGUUUCACCCGCAAGCGGCAACCAAUCCGUACACAGUAUUACUUGAAUGGCUCCCCUUUAUCAGAAACAAGUGAAGCUAAAUACUUAGUUGUCACAUUUUCCGCCAAUCUGACAUGGAAUCAUCAGAUUCAAAGCAUCACUUUAAAAGCAGGGAGAGUACUUAAUUUUAUUAAACGGAACUUUAGUCACGCGCCACUACAUGUCGAGAGAACACUUUACCUAAGCAACGUUCGCCCGAUUCUCGGAUACGCGUCUGUUGUGUGGGACCCUCGUACACAAAUUCUUGUCAAUAGCUUAGAAGCGAUACAGAAACGUGCGGCCCGUUUCAUAACCGGCAUUUACUCAUUUCCAAGCAGCAUCAUAGAAGUAAAACGGCACAUAUGUUUGGAAGAUCUUUCACUACGCCGUGUUGUUUCCCGCCUCUCUUUCCUUCGAGAUACCGUCUUCAUUCGCACACCAGUAAACAGAGUCUUAUCUACAACCACCAACAUACAUAUCCGGGCGCCGCGACCACUUACUUGAGAUAAAAGAAAUAUGCGCGCGCACAACAACAUACCAAAACUCCUUUUUUCCCCAUACAAUACACGAAUGGAACCUGCUGCCUCCUGAACUAAUUGAAGUUGCUUUUGAUGCCACAUUCCCCACUGCUCUCCAAGCAUGUUUGUAGAUGAAAAUGCACUCGCCAUUUGAAACUUUCUUUGAUGUUUGUUUUGCAAUGUUAGCCAGCGUGCUGUGUUAAUAAUUGUAUCUUGUUACCUGGGUGAAACUUGUUCUUAGUGCUGUCUCAUGCGCUCCCUCGGAAUGUAACAAAUGUAUGAUUAGUAUUGUGCCCAUGGUCUGAAGUGUUUAACGUUUUCAAGAGUGUGCUAUCUUGUAUUAUAUAUUGAUUGUCUGUCCUCCCUACUGUAAUGCCCAAUGGGCGAAGCAGGUAUGUAAAUAAAUAAAUGAAUGAAUAAAUAAAUAAAUAAAUAAAAAUGUAGAAUACUAGUAACUGCCAUUCUUACACAAUGUAUAGCGUUCUUUUUUAAAAUCCAGACAAUUGUUUUACUGGGGCAGAAAUGUGCUUUCUUUUGGGCCCGAAAGUGAACAUAUUAUAUUUCUUACAUUUCGUGUCUAAUAAAUUCUCCUCUCUGUCAGUCUGUA